GACGAACGCUGGCGGCGUGCUUAACACAUGCAAGUCGAACGGUAAGGCCCUUCGGGGUACACGAGUGGCGAACGGGUGAGUAACACGUGGGUGAUCUGCCCUGCACUUCGGGAUAAGCCUGGGAAACUGAGUCUAAUACCGGAUAGGACUCCGGACUGCAUGGUCUGGGGUGGAAAGCUUUUGCGGUGUGGGAUGGGCCCGCGGCCUAUCAGGUUGUUGGGGGGGUGAUGGCCUACCAAGGCGACGACGGGUAGCCGGCCUGAGAGGGUGACCUGCCACACGGGGACUGGGAUACGGCCCAGACUCCGACGGGAGGCAGCAGUGGGGAAUAUUGCACAAUGGGCGCAAGCCUGAUGCAGCGACGCCGCGUGAGGGAUGACGGCCUUCGGGUUGUAAACCUCUUUCAGCAUCGACGAAGCGAAAGUGACGGUAGGUGCAGAAGAAGGACCGGCCAACUACGUGCCAGCCGCCGCCGUAA
This 478-nucleotide ribosomal RNA is filed under the name uncultured bacterium. RNAcentral describes it as "partial 16S ribosomal RNA". It matches the Rfam family "Bacterial small subunit ribosomal RNA", at positions 28 to 523 of the family's 1533-position model. The record is from RNAcentral.